UCAUUCACAGCUUCUCCUUCACGCUUUCUCAUUUGACAACCCUAAUUCUAGAACCUGCCGCUGCAAUUCUUCUUGCCUUUAACCUCACGCUGUAACGGUGGAACAUUAAGAACCUGCAAAAGCUUCAUAUCUUUGGAUCCCAAAACCAUCGAUUUGUCUCAACCAAGUUUUUUUCAUGUUUGCUAGAUGUUUUUCAAAUCACAGGUUUUUUAUUGCUGGUGUUGUUUGUUGAUUUCAAUGCAUAAGAAGAAUGAAGAUGUGUUGUGGUGAUUGGCUGUUGAGCUGGAAGAGGACAUCUGGCGCUUGGCUAUUUCUCCGGCAACUUCAACUAAAGACGAAUAGUUUAGCGCUGACGACUCUGACAUCACAUAUAUUGCGGAAAUACUUCGAGCAUCAAAAUAUUUACUUUCUCGAAAACCAACAAAAUGUUCAAAAGUCAUUAGAAAAAGAUACAUGAAGAUGUUCAAAGCUCCGAAGGAAGCUUGUGAUUGACGCCAUUUAUGAAAUCAUCGACAGAAACAGAGAACGACCGCUGUGGAAGUUAACGGAAUCAAGCGAUUCCGUGAAGGAGAACUGUUGUGAAUUUCAAAAGAUUCGCAAAACGGAAACUACUAUAAAUUUCUUCGGAGUCUGAUGUAAAUGACAUCGUUGUGAACGGAUGAUACGUGACAACUAAAGAUGAUGUUUUUGUGCAGCUGAUUCUUGACAGUCUCACAGGGCCUCCAAUCUUAUGUGAGAAACAGGUUGUUCCUAUUUAGUGAUCAAAUACCUUUGUUCAACAAAAUUAAUCACAAGGUGGACGUUCUCAGUUGAAGAUUUUUGAAUAGCUACAUUUUUUUGGAGGUUGAAAGGGUGUCAAUAAUUAACUAUAAUUUGUAUCACCACAAAGUCGGCCCCUCACUACCCUUUUCAAGGCAUUUUGAAAUAAAUUUCGACAUUUGGGUUUGCUUGCCUUUUGUUUCUCAUGUAAGUCAAGUAAUCGUUCAAAUCUGUCCAUUUUUUUUAUUAGAAAUCCUUAGAAGUCUAUCUGCCACACACUGAACAUGGAAUUAGUGAAGGAUUUUAAUUGCUAAGUGAGUGUCGAGUGUUAUUUUUCGGCGAGUGAGGUUUUGGCGAAGCAUGAUGAGAAGUAUAUGCCGGCGGAAGCGGCGAAUGCGAUUGAGAAGAAUAAGAAGAAGCUUGCGGAAGAAGCGGGUGGGCGGAUUGAUGGACGGGAGGAUGCUGCUGUUGUUCCGACCGCGUAAAUUUUUAACGUGUUUUCGGGUAUGUGUUACUAACCGACUGCCCGCUUCUAUUUUUGAAAGGAAGUUUUUAUAUAUAUGAAUGGGAUUAUACUAUGAUUGAAGUUGACUAAUUAUAAGGACGAUAAAUUGUUAGUCGGGAAUGAAGAGAGGGUGCGCGAUUACACCGAGGCUUUUUGGAUUGAUUGUUGUUGUAGGUUUCAUGGUUUUUACUGUUCUGAUUCUAUUGGGCAUAUUGUUCAGAUUGUAUUUUGUAUGGGUAUAUGUCUUCGAUUGGAUUUUGAUGAUUUGAUCAAGCUGUUGAAUAAGAAACAUUCUUGAAAAUGUCUGAUUACUAUCCUGUGUUUGUCUUUUAAAGUCUGAUGAUAAGUUGCAUUUUAAAUGGAAAAGUAAACUUUUUUUACAAAUGUUUUGAUUGUUUUGCUUUAUUUGUUAUAUAAGCUUAUGAGUAGUUGAAACUAUGAAACACUUGCAUUUGGAGAACUUAGCUGGAUGAUGAUUGAUGAUCCAUAGCUCUAUGAUAUAUUGUUGGUAUUAGAAAAUUAGCUUUUUGUAAUGGAUUGGUAUGUGUUCAUGAAUCUACGAUCUGCUACAAAUUUGUAGGGUUGACUGAUGGUUUUAGGAUUCGAGUUUUGGGAAUGUAGAUGUCAUUUUGCAGGCACCCUGCUAUUUUAUCCUGGUACUCUGUGAGGUACUGUGUGCAUCUAUAUAAGGUUUACAUUUUACAAUUUUGGAUUGAGGUGCAUUAUGGUUGCAUCAGACCUCUGGGCGCUUUAAAUUUUAUCUGCAGUAGAAGUUUAGGUAUAAUAUUAAGAGUAAGUUACUGUUACACCAAUCAUUCAGGUGGUAUGUCAAAAUUUUAGCAUUCAUAUUAAUGUCGAGAGCUAAAAUUUUGACAUACCACAUGGACGACUGACACAGUUUACUCCAAUAUUUAAGAUUGGUGGACCUGAGCAUAUUGUGGAAGGUGUUUUGUGAGUUUGUACGCAUAUGUAAACCCUUAUAUGAAAACAAGUUUUUUUGGAAGUCAUAAGCUUAUACCUAUUUGAAAUGCUUAAUAGACUUGCUACCAAAUAUAUAAAGCCAACAUCGUGAACUUUACUAUUUGCCUGCUAUGGAAGUCUUCCACAAUUCAUCCUCUAUAUUUGGUUAGACAUCAAUAAUAUUAACUUUUAAUUGCUUUUAUUACCAAAGUGAGCCAGUUGGGUAAUGGGUCGAAAUGAGUUGGGGUCAAAACAGGUAGUUCUAAAUGAUGAAAUUUCAGUUACCGACUUAACGGGCAUAUUUUUGCAAGCCAAGCUAGAGACCGUGAAAAAGGUUGGCUCUAAAUGAUGAAAUUUCAGUUACCGACUUACCGGGCAAUCAAAGUUUGUUUCACUAGAAGCUGAUUCACUCGACACACCAACUCCAAAUUAAUAAAUGAAUAAACUUUAUGUUAUAGUUUCACUAUUAUCUGGUUUGUGUAUCUGUUUUUUUGUGAAUCUUAUUCGCAGGAUGAGAUUGUGAGUGCUUCAGGAUGAGUUUGGUAUCGCUGUGGAAUAUGAGAGUGCCCAGAGCAUAUAAAAUCGAUCAAGAUGCAGCCAAUCUUUUUGAGACAAUCUUAUAAAAUUAUGAUUAUAACCAUGUUGCCGAAUAUGAGGAUACAAAAAAGUAAGAUCUAAGUUCUAUUGGCAAAUAUUCUUGCUGUAACAUAAUAUUGUCAAGGUUGUUCUUUUUACCUCCAUUUUUUCUUAUUUUUUUGGUUAAAUUAUGAAGUCAAUGCAAAUGCAAAUGUGGUUGUAAGAAUUAUCGACUUAUUAACUCUUUUUAUUCUACUA
This is a long non-coding RNA of Helianthus annuus (common sunflower), 3058 nucleotides long. RefSeq lists it as uncharacterized. Lineage: Eukaryota; Viridiplantae; Streptophyta; Magnoliopsida; Asterales; Asteraceae. The transcript is spliced from 6 exons. The record is from RefSeq and is a predicted model, not a curated record.